Molecule: long non-coding RNA, 945 nt
Organism: Hyaena hyaena (striped hyena)
Lineage: Eukaryota; Metazoa; Chordata; Mammalia; Carnivora; Hyaenidae
Exons: 3
Source: RefSeq, a predicted model, not a curated record
CUGGAAACCAGUUUGCUUUGACAGGGAGGGUGUCCGGAUCUAGAAAGAAAUCCACCCUCAGAAGGCAAAGACACCUGCAGGGAUUGGCCUGAGUGAUGUCAGCACCCACAUACACUAAUGCAGCAACGGCUCCCUGAUUAGAUGCCUCUUCCUCUGGGAAGCCUUCCCAGACCCACACCCCAGGCACCACACACGGAACCAGGAUACAGCUGUGAACACGACGGGGCCGGCUCGGGUGCACAGGGGAGACACACGAAGCUGACCCGAGGCCCAGCACAGCCAUGGAGCCCUGGGCCCUUCCCGCAGGUGAGCACAGAAGACCCAGCAUCCGGGCUAGCACAGAAGUCUGAGGCCGGCACACUGGAAGGGGUCCCCUGCAAGGCCGGGUCACCACAGGGCCACCGCGGCUCCACGCCUCAAGGAAGGGCAUGGCCAGGGUGCAAGCCAGCGCCUGCUGAGACAUGCGUGUCAACACCCGGAGGUGGUCCGUCACCCUGGGGCCGUGCUGAGCCCAACGCCAGCGCCCAGGGCCACCGCCCAUGUGUGCCCGCGUCUGGCACACGCGUAUGCGAGAAUGCUCGGGUCCAGGGACUUGGGCGGGCACAAGAUGCACGUGUAUACGUGGGCUGUGAACCAAGCUGGGGGCAAGGCCGUUUCGACAGUGAGCGGCAUACAGGUUCGCUGGUCAGCACUGCCGGUAGUUAAGGAGGGAAGGGAGGGAGGUGGCGGUGAGGCUGAGGGGCAGCGAGCAGGUGGGAGGCUGGGCGGCAGUCGUGGGGGCCUGCCAGCCGGGUGUGCAGCUGUGGGUCUGAGCAGCUGUCUGUGCCCCGAGCUGGGGGGGUGGGGGGUGGUCGUGCAGUGGGACGCGGCUGUAGUUAAGAGCAUAGACUCCGGAGGGGACCUGGGUGGCUCAGCGGGUUAAGCAUCCAACUCUUUGAUUUUGGC